Long non-coding RNA from Mercenaria mercenaria, 1071 nucleotides. RefSeq lists it as uncharacterized. NCBI's taxonomy places the organism in Eukaryota, Metazoa, Mollusca, Bivalvia, Venerida, Veneridae. The transcript has 3 exons. The record is from RefSeq and is a predicted model, not a curated record.
GAAAAGAAACCAACCUGACAAUUCAGACAGUGUGAUACAUCAUGACCAUGAAAGUCGAGGUGACAGCAUACAACGUUACGCUGACCUUAAUUCACUCAUUCUGGAAACGUAGGGGAGCAGUGCCUAAAUCUUAGAUAUAAUAAACUGGCUCAUUCCCUCAAUCAUACAGACUGGAACAGCGUUUCUGCUGAAGGAAGUAGGCAAUGGCUUUACCAAACAUGUGCUGAGUUUGGUUGGGUUCAAAGUUCCUGGUCAAGAAAGAAACCUUUCGGUCAGUGGUUUCUUUUUCCGUUCAACAAAACCGCUAGCAACAUCCCCCUUCAUAGUCGUGGUCCUGAAUCUGUGGCACAUUCUAAUGGCUGCAUGGUAAGUAGUGGGAGAUAUACGUUUUCCGUAAAAAAAAUCUCAAGUGCUUAUAUGAAUAAAAAUUUACAGCUAGAACUUCGAAUCAUUGCCGAGAUAUGUCAAAGCUGCGAUGCCUCAGAUCUAGACGGGUUGUGGCAGAUAUGACAUAAAACUUACUUUUAGACAUUGAAAAAUAAUUUUAACAUAUGAUGGUGCAGUUCUCAAUCUAGAAAAACAUUCUUGUUGUGAUGAAUCUGAUUAUCACACCGCCAUCAGAGAAGCACUUGGCAGUGAAUGACGGGAGGAAGAAAAGGAAGUUCGAAUAUAUGCAUGUUUCAUUGGCAGAUGACAUACAGAGAAAAUAAUUUUAAAGUGGAAAAUGUUGUUACUUUCCUGUUUUCAAUUAAUAUCUGCUACAAACUAAAUAAGUAUAAUUCAUCUGAUAUGUCUGUCAAUACACUCCUUAAAAAUCAUAUCAAGCCCGAUUUUGGACUUUAUAACAUUAAAUACAUUCAGUCAAGUAAUUUCUAGUAAAAACACAUUUUACGUGCAUAAAAGGAAAUUGAUUUCCUGUUUCACUGCAAACGCCUGUGCUAAAUGGAUAAAAAUCCAAUUAUUUUUCAAUUUUUAAGGGUUUUUUUUUAUUAGAUUUAAUUUAACAUGUAAUAUCAUUUGCACUCAUUUUUCUUCACUUUGGAAUUUUGCAGGCAUGGCAAUACUCAUUUU